Non-coding RNA from Acanthosepion pharaonis, 91 nucleotides. The record is from the annotation of a GenBank genome assembly. Lineage: Eukaryota; Metazoa; Mollusca; Cephalopoda; Sepiida; Sepiidae.
CACUCAUGCCCGUACGAUCACCGAAGUUAAGCAACGUCGAGUCUGGUCAGUACCUCGAUGGGUGACUGGUUGGGAAUAUCAGGUGCUGGAA